Molecule: ribosomal RNA, 674 nt
Filed under: uncultured Myxococcales bacterium
Lineage: Bacteria; Pseudomonadati; Myxococcota; Myxococcia; Myxococcales
Description: bacterial SSU rRNA
Rfam family: Bacterial small subunit ribosomal RNA
Source: RNAcentral
AACCCUCCGAAAGGAGGGCUAAUACCGCAUGACGCCAGCAAUGGCCAAAGCGGGCCUCUCCAUGGAAGCUCGCGUUUGAGGAUGAGCCUGCGGCCCAUCAGCUCGUUGGCGGGGUAACGGCCCACCAAGGCUAAGACGGGUAGCUGGUCUAAGAGGAUGAACAGCCACACUGGAACUGAGACACGGUCCAGACUCCUACGGGAGGCAGCAGUGGGGAAUCUUGCGCAAUGGGCGAAAGCCUGACGCAGCGACGCCGCGUGAGCGAUGAAGGCCUUCGGGUUGUAAAGCUCUGUGGGGAGGAAAGAAUAAGGGCGGGCCAAUACCCCGUCCGAUGACGGUACCUCCUUAGCAAGCACCGGCUAACUCUGUGCCAGCAGCCGCGGUAAGACAGAGGGUGCAAACGUUGUUCGGAAUUACUGGGCGUAAAGCGCGUGUAGGCGGCCGUGCAAGUCGGAUGUGAAAUACCUCGGCUCAACUGAGGAAGUGCACCCGAAACUGCGUGGCUAGAGUCCCGGAGAGGAAGGUGGAAUGCUUGGUGUAGAGGUGAAAUUCGUAGAUAUCAAGCGGAACACCGGUGGCGAAGGCGGCCUUCUGGACGGUGACUGACGCUGAGACGCGAAAGCGUGGGGAGCAAACAGGAUUAGAUACCCUGGUAGUCCACGCCGUAAACGAUG